GGCGGCGUGCCUAACACAUGCAAGUCGAACGAGAAAGUGGUAGCAAUACCAUGAGUAAAGUGGCGCACGGGUGAGUAACACGUGACUAACCUACCCUGGAGUGGGGGAUAACUGAGGGAAACCUUAGCUAAUACCGCAUAAUACCUACGGGUCAAAGGAGCAAUUCGCUUCAGGAGGGGGUCGCGGCCGAUUAGUUAGUUGGCGGGGUAAUGGCCCACCAAGACAGUGAUCGGUAUCCGGCCUGAGAGGGCGCACGGACACACUGGAACUGAAACACGGUCCAGACUCCUACGGGAGGCAGCAGUGGGGAAUUUUGCGCAAUGGGGGAAACCCUGACGCAGCAACGCCGCGUGGAGGAUGAAGUCCCUCGGGACGUAAACUCCUUUCGAUCGGGACGAUUAUGACGGUACCGGAAGAAGAAGCCCCGGCUAACUUCGUGCCAGCAGCCGCGGUAAUACGANGGGGGCGAGCGUUGUUCGGAAUUAUUGGGCGUAAAGGGUGCGUA
RNAcentral lists this ribosomal RNA (505 nucleotides) under uncultured Acidobacteriota bacterium. RNAcentral's name for it is "bacterial SSU rRNA". It matches the Rfam family "Bacterial small subunit ribosomal RNA", at positions 38 to 573 of the family's 1533-position model. The record is from RNAcentral. Lineage: Bacteria; Pseudomonadati; Acidobacteriota.